GCUGUGGUUUUUUCCUUUUUUUGAAUUUCUGUUUUAUUUUCUUUUAAUCCAUUUACUUUCAAAAAUUCAUAACUUCUUUAUUUGGAAUCCCAAAAAUAUGGGACCAAUUGCAAAGUUUUUCUCUUAAAUUCUAGUUUCAUAAAAUGAUUUUUAAUUAUUUUUGUGAUUCCGUUUAAUAUUUUUUAUGAAUUAUUUCAUUUCUGAUUGUUUUUA
This 213-nucleotide long non-coding RNA is filed under the name Lathyrus oleraceus (garden pea). RNAcentral's name for it is "Pisum sativum (pea) long non-coding RNA (PSAT_LNC025600)". Lineage: Eukaryota; Viridiplantae; Streptophyta; Magnoliopsida; Fabales; Fabaceae. The record is from RNAcentral.